UACGAAGGGGGCUAGCGUUGCUCGGAUUUACUGGGCGUAAAGGGAGCGUAGGCGGGACGACAAGUCAGAGGUGAAAGCCCGGGGCUCAACCUCGGAAUAGCCUUUGAGACUGUCGACCUAGAGUUCGGGAGAGGUGUGUGGAACUCCGAGUGUAGAGGUGAAAUUCGUAGAUAUUCGGAAGAACACCAGUGGCGAAGGCGACACACUGGCCCGAGACUGACGCUGAGGCUCGAAAGCGUGGGGAGCAAACAGG
RNAcentral lists this ribosomal RNA (253 nucleotides) under uncultured bacterium. RNAcentral's name for it is "partial 16S ribosomal RNA". It matches the Rfam family "Bacterial small subunit ribosomal RNA", at positions 524 to 776 of the family's 1533-position model. The record is from RNAcentral.